RNAcentral lists this ribosomal RNA (429 nucleotides) under Chloroflexota bacterium. RNAcentral describes it as "Chloroflexi bacterium partial 16S ribosomal RNA". It matches the Rfam family "Bacterial small subunit ribosomal RNA", at positions 355 to 776 of the family's 1533-position model. The record is from RNAcentral. Lineage: Bacteria; Bacillati; Chloroflexota.
UGGGGAAUAUUGCACAAUGGGCGCAAGCCUGAUGCAGCCAUGCCGCGUGUGUGAAGAAGGCCUUCGGGUUGUAAAGUACUUUCAGUCGGGUGGAAGGUGGUAAGGUUAAUAACCUUAUCAAUUGACGUUACCGACAGAAGAAGCACCGGCUAACUCUGUGCCAGCAGCCGCGGUAAUACGGAGGGUGCAAGCGUUAAUCGGAAUUACUGGGCGUAAAGCGUACGCAGGCUGUUGAUUGAGUCAGAUGUGAAAUCCCCGGGCUUAACCCGGGAAUUGCAUCUGAUACUGGUCAGCUAGAGUGUUGUAGAGGGGGGUAGAAUUCCAUGUGGAGCAGGGAAAUGCGUAGAAAUGUGGAGGAAUACCGGUUGCGAGGGCGGCCCCCUGGGCAAAGACUGACGCUCAGGUGCGAAAGCGUGGGGAGCAAACAGG